This is a non-coding RNA of Strongylocentrotus purpuratus (purple sea urchin), 102 nucleotides long. RefSeq annotates it as microRNA mir-184. The record is from RefSeq and is marked provisional. The transcript has a single exon. Lineage: Eukaryota; Metazoa; Echinodermata; Echinoidea; Camarodonta; Strongylocentrotidae.
GUCUUUUAUCUUUCCUUAUCAUUCUCUUGCCCGGCCGAAUACUAUGUUAUUGAAAUUGCGCUGGACGGAGAACUGAUAAGGGCUUAUAUAAGACACGUGGCA